Molecule: ribosomal RNA, 279 nt
Filed under: uncultured bacterium
Lineage: Bacteria
Description: partial 16S ribosomal RNA
Rfam family: Bacterial small subunit ribosomal RNA
Source: RNAcentral
AGCCUACGGGGGGCAGCAGUGGGGAAUAUUGCGCAAUGGGGGAAACCCUGACGCAGCAACGCCGCGUGCGGGAUGAAGGCUUUCGGGUUGUAAACCGCUUUCAGCAGGGAAGAUAAUGACGGUACCUGCAGAAUAAGCCACGGCUAACUACGUGCCAGCAGCCGCGGUAAUACGUAGGUGGCAAGCGUUAUCCGGAUUUAUUGGGUGUAAAGGGCGUGUAGGCGGGAAAGCAAGUCAGAUGUGAAAACUCAGGGCUCAACCCUGAGCCUGCAUUUGAAA